This 253-nucleotide ribosomal RNA is filed under the name uncultured bacterium. RNAcentral's name for it is "partial 16S ribosomal RNA". It matches the Rfam family "Bacterial small subunit ribosomal RNA", at positions 524 to 776 of the family's 1533-position model. The record is from RNAcentral.
UACGUAGGGUGCAAGCGUUAAUCGGAAUUACUGGGCGUAAAGCGUGCGCAGGCGGUUUUGUAAGUCUGUCGUGAAAUCCCCGGGCUCAACCUGGGAAUUGCGAUGGAGACUGCAAGGCUAGAAUCUGGCAGAGGGGGGUAGAAUUCCACGUGUAGCAGUGAAAUGCGUAGAUAUUGGGAGGAACACCAGUGGCGAAGGCAGCUCGCUGGGACGGUACUGACGCUGAGGCGCGAAAGCGUGGGGAGCAAACAGG